ACAUGCAUACAACAUACCGUUAAUGCACCAGAUCCCAUUAGAACUCUGCAGUUAAGCGCACUCAGGCUAGAGUAGUACUAGGAUGGGUGACCGCCCAGGAAUUCCUAGUGUUUUACAUGCC
Non-coding RNA from Picea glauca (white spruce), 121 nucleotides. NCBI's taxonomy places the organism in Eukaryota, Viridiplantae, Streptophyta, Pinopsida, Pinales, Pinaceae. The record is from Rfam.